CCCUUAGAUGUUCUGGGCCGCACGCGUGCUACACUGAUGCAUUCAACGAGUCUAAAACCUGGUCUGAUAGGGCUGGGUAAUCUUCAGCAAAGUCGAACGUGAUGGGGAUCGAUCAUUGCAAUUAUUGAUCGUGAACGAGGAAUUCCUAGUAAGUGCAAGUCAUCAGCUUGCGCUGAUUACGUCCCUGCCCUUUGUACACACCGCCCGUCGCUACUACCGAUUGAAUGGUUUAGUGAGAUCUCUGGAUUGACGCUGGCUAGGGGGCGACCCUUGGCCAGACUGUUGAGAAACUGCUCAAACUUGAUCAUUUAGAGGAAGUAAAAGUCGUAACA
RNAcentral lists this ribosomal RNA (332 nucleotides) under uncultured eukaryote. RNAcentral's name for it is "partial 18S ribosomal RNA". It matches the Rfam family "Eukaryotic small subunit ribosomal RNA", at positions 1470 to 1796 of the family's 1831-position model. The record is from RNAcentral.